Molecule: transfer RNA, 74 nt
Filed under: Minisyncoccota bacterium
Lineage: Bacteria; Bacillati; Minisyncoccota
Description: tRNA-Met
Rfam family: tRNA
About the family: Transfer RNA (tRNA) molecules are approximately 80 nucleotides in length. Their secondary structure includes four short double-helical elements and three loops (D, anti-codon, and T loops). Further hydrogen bonds mediate the characteristic L-shaped molecular structure. tRNAs have two regions of fundamental functional importance: the anti-codon, which is responsible for specific mRNA codon recognition, and the 3' end, to which the tRNAs corresponding amino acid is attached (by aminoacyl-tRNA synthetases). tRNAs cope with the degeneracy of the genetic code in two manners: having more than one tRNA (with a specific anti-codon) for a particular amino acid; and 'wobble' base-pairing, i.e. permitting non-standard base-pairing at the 3rd anti-codon position.
Source: RNAcentral
GUCGGCGUAGCUCAGACGGUUAGAGCGUGGCACUCAUAAAGCCAAGGUCGGUGGUUCGAUUCCACCCGUCGACA